UGCCAGCCGCCGCGGUAAUACGAGGGGUGCUAGCGUUGUCCGGAAUCAUUGGGCGUAAAGGGUCCGUAGGCGAUCUAACAAGUCAACUGUUAAAUACAUCGGCUUAACCGAUGAAAUGCGAUUGAAACUGUUAGAAUAGAGUUUAGGAGAGGAAAGUGGAAUUUCUGGUGUAGCGGUGACAUGCGUAGAUAUCAGAAGGAACACCAAUGGCGAAGGCAACUUUCUGGCCUAAAACUGACGCUGAGGGACGAAAGCGUGGGGAGCGAACAGGAUUAGAUA
Molecule: ribosomal RNA, 279 nt
Filed under: uncultured bacterium
Lineage: Bacteria
Description: partial 16S ribosomal RNA
Rfam family: Bacterial small subunit ribosomal RNA
Source: RNAcentral